CGUUCCCAAACACUCAGCUGUCGAAAUAUUCCUUUUGGACUUAUUAAAAUGUUUAUUAUAACAUGGGAAUAAUAAAGUGGAUAAUACAAUAUAUACCUUGUUAGAACUAAAACAUUUUAUCUUAAGAAUUCUUGCAAUUGUUAUCGAUAACAUUUUAUUUCCUUGAACUUAAACAAUACAAAUUUAGAGAGUCAAAAAAAAUGAGAAAGAAAAGAAGUCGAGGGAAUAUGGAUCGGGUGAGGUGAACAUACUGCCGGUCGCCAGAAGAGUUUCUUCAGUCAUCCAUAACGCAUCUCUGGUCAGCUGAUUGCCGAUUACAGACAUCUGAUAGGUGGAAAAUGCCAACCAAGUUCGUGCCAAGGCGAAAGCUUUGUUAUUCAAAAUAAAUAUAAAGGGCGAGGAUCGAAGUUCAAAUGGCUUAAUUACAUACGUCAUCGGACUCGCUCAGAUCGAUGUUUCCAUUAUCGUCAUCAUCCAGCUGGCGAUGCAAGCUUGCAAUAGCCUCCAUGCCAAAGCGAUCCUGAACACUUCCACUGUAGCAAUCAAAAUCAUCCGCAGCACACGCUCCAUCCGCUGAACCACUUCCCAUAGAACCUGUUGAGAGUGCUUCGGUUAACAAAAUAUACAAAAAUGCUAUUAAAUGUAAUCCACAGAAGGCUAUUUAAACUAAAACAUAAUAAUACAUACUGUUAAAA
Long non-coding RNA from Drosophila erecta, 695 nucleotides. RefSeq lists it as uncharacterized. The transcript is spliced from 3 exons. NCBI's taxonomy places the organism in Eukaryota, Metazoa, Arthropoda, Insecta, Diptera, Drosophilidae. The record is from RefSeq and is a predicted model, not a curated record.